RNAcentral lists this long non-coding RNA (12030 nucleotides) under Homo sapiens (human). Its description in RNAcentral is "HSALNT0343598". Lineage: Eukaryota; Metazoa; Chordata; Mammalia; Primates; Hominidae. The record is from RNAcentral.
CCUUGGGAUCUGCCUGCCUUGGCCUCCCAAAGUGCUGGGAUUACAGGCGUGAGCCACUGCACCUGGCAUAAUUUUGGCUACUCUUAAUCAACCCCAGAAGGUUUAAUAAGAACUUUGAUUAGCUACUUUCUAGCUUCAUGAAUUUACCAAGCUAUUCCUGGUUUUGCACCUUUAAGAAACUCAUUUUUUAAAUCUGAUGAAUAUAUGUCCAUAAGAAGCUUUACUUGGUUAAAAUUAAAUACAUACAAAAUUGACAGAAAAAUUAUUUUGUCAAAGAAAAAUGAACGAAGAGUAGUGUCAUUUUUCAUUGUCACAUUCAUUUCUCUAAGAAAUGGAUCUGUCCUUCAACAUCUCCUCCUAGCCCAUACUGUUUGAAUAUAGAGGGCUCUUGGGCCAUGGUCCGGGGAUUAUUUAUAAUCAGCAACAAGGGGUUACAGUGUCAUGGCUUACAAUUUGGUGGGGUGGGACCAGGGACUAGUUGGAGUUUUUUGUUUUGGUCGUCAUAAUUUAUUUGAAGCAGGGAGCUUGGCUCUCCACCCUUUGUACUUAUUAGUCCACCAAACAUCUGCCCAGUCACCACUGGGACUUUUAACACUCCAUACUUAUACAUGCUUGAUUUUUUGUGGUAUAGACAUAGACACUUAUCAACAUGGGCUAGCUUCUUUUGACCUUGCUCAUCUCCAUACGGGAUGACUGAACAGGCAUCAAACUGAAGGGUUAAAAAAUGACUAGCCUGAGUUACACUGAUGACAAGAUGACCUUCUGUUGAAAAGAAAAAAGAGAAUAAAUAAGUGAUUAUUAAGCUCUUUUUAGAGUUAAUUUGGUGGGGGUGGGCUGUGGAGUGACAGUUCAUGAUUCUGGAGGUGGCGGCACCUUCUUGACUCGGGUGUGAUGAGUCCAUCCUCUUUCUGUUGUCCAGACUGCAGUCUCAGUACAUAGGAGCACUAGGUAGGGUCCUUCCCAGGCUGGUUCGAGCUUCCUUUUCUUCUACCCUUGGAUGAGAACAUGGUCUCAAGGCCAAUGCUGAUGUUCUGGAAACUCCAGGGGUGAUGCCUGUGCUAGGAGACCUUUAGUCCCAAGGGAAAAGAAGGUAGAGCCUAGACCAAGUAUAUAAUUUUUGAGGAAAUGAUCCUUUGUUUCAAACAUAGGGAUGUCAGCAAUGGAGUGUAAGUAGGGCAUUCCAUAGAGCGUUUCCUCAGGUGACAGGCCAAUAUCUUUCCAAGGGGCAGUCCGGAUUCUUAACCAAGCAAUAGGAGUAUAUUUAGUCCAUGGCAAUCGAGUUUCUAAAACUAAGUUAAGUGGUUUAUUAGAGUCUGAUUCAUCCACUCUACUCUUCCUGUGGAGGAUGGAUGCCAAGGAGUAUGGUAUUCCCAAUGUAUAUCUAGUACCUGUGCUAACUUCUUAAUGACAUGCACAGUGAAAUGGGUUGCAGUAUCUGAAUCAGUAUUUUCUAUUAGUUCAAAUCUGGGUAUGAUGUUUUCAAUUAGCGCUUUAACUACAUUACUGGAGGUUGCACGUGAGAAUGGGAUUGCCUCUACCCAGUGGGUAAAAUGGUCUAUUAUUACUAAUAAGUAUAACUACCAAUUGGAGGCAUUUCAGUGUAAUUGAUCUGAACACUUUGAAAUGGUCUCAGUGCUGGAUUUCUUCCACCAAGGCGCAAUUUCCUUAGAUCCUGCUUAUUAGCUUUUUUUACAUGUUAAGCAACUAUCUAUAACUUGUUUGGCCAGGGUGUAAAUUCUUAUACACCCAUAAACCCGGAGAACUGCAUUGCACAUUGCUUGGGGUCCCCAAUGGGUCCCUUGAUGUAAUUGAGACAAGACUUCCCUCAUGAGAGGUUUUGACAACAUUUCCCUUUGAUCUGAUAAUAUCCAUUUCCUAUCCGCAUUUUCUUUAGCUCCUAUUUUUAUCAACGUCUUUUGUUCAAUGGAAGAGAAAACGGGUUACAGUAGGAGGAGGGCAUGGAGUUAAAUGGAAGAAAUGGCAACUUGUUUUGCUAUUUUAUUGUAACCGACUGAGUUAUAGAGAGAAUGCCACAGUCUGAGACUAAUUCAGUGAUCCUUUAUUGCCAGCAACCGAGAGACGGCUAGAGCUCAAAAUUCUCUCAGCCCCGAAGAAGGGGCUACACAUCUUUUUACACCUUGGUCUAAAGAGGGGAGGAGGAGUGUAGCUGAAGCAAUUUUUUACAGAAGCAGAACAGGCAAAAAAGUUGAAAGAUAAAUGGUUACAGAAACAGUAAUAAGAAAAUAAACAGUUCCAGGUGCAGGGGCUUAAAUUAUCACAAAGUGAUAAACGCAAAGGCUUUGGGCACCGUCAACCGAGUGCGUUCCCAGGAGCUGCUGGUACAGCUUGCCUCAGUAUCUUAUCAGUAAGCGCAUUCUUGGAUGUGCUUGGAGUCAGCUUGCACCAGUUAUGUCCUUAAGGGAGGGGGACAAGGGGCUGCAAGUGAAGAAACCAAAAUGGAGUCUGUCCAGCUCUCUCAGCUAAGAGAGAGUCAAUCAGGUUAAAAGAAGUUAGGGUAUCACAUUUCCCACUCGUGUUUGGGGGAAUCAGAUCAUUGAUUCCUCGGUUAUAACAAGGGUGUUAUAUUGGGUUCUAAGAUACAUAAGAUUGACAGAAGCUAUGCGUUGCUUUACAAAAUUAAGAAACCAAUUUAAUAUACAAGGCCUGAAGACUAACCCUAACAAGAGGAGGAGAAGGGGGUCCCGCCAACCCAGUAAUUAGAGUAGUUAGCCAGGGAUUCCAGUUAAACAUGCUUUGGUACUUUGGUACUCCAGGAAUGAGAAAGGUGGUGUUACUUUCUUGUUCCUUCUGGCAUCUAUCUAGAUUUUCUCGAACUCUUUGAAGAGUAUUUUUUAUGACUCCAGACUGAUUGGCAUAGAAACAACAACUUUCUUCUAGAGCUGUGCAUAAACCUCCUUGGGAGAUAAAUAGCAGAUCUAAGCCUCGGCGGUUUUGAAGAACUACUUCAGCUAGAGACUCUACCUGGGCAUGUAGUAUAUUUAUGGCUGAUUGGAGAUUGCUUAAAUCAGCAUCUACCUGUUGAGAUAGUGAUAUUAGUCCAGUUUCUCCUUGAAUCAGGGCAGUCGUGCCAAUAGCUGCUGACGUAGCUAUGCUAAGGCCAGCUAGAAGGGGUACAAGGAGUAGGGCAGCUCGGUGAAACCUGAAAUGCAAUUCAGGGGGAGCAAUGAGAAGUUGUCCUUCUGGCCCACUGUACAUGUAGAUCUGGGGGAGUACAUGAAUCAACAUGCAUAGGAGAGGUCCAGGUUCAGUCCCAUUGAUGCAGCGAGUGAGGCCUGAAAUGCAGGCCAACCAGGUAUUUUUGGGUGCCUGGUAGGAGACUGAGGGGUUUAAGGAAGUAAGGAGAGACUCACUACAAGUAGCCUGAAAGGGAGAAGCAGGUAAGUUAUACCUUGCGCUAAUUAGACAGAAGGCAUUCCCUGACACAUCUCCUAGUGUAAGGGCAUGGGGGCACGUAUGACAAGAAAGAGAGUCCAUUUUGAGCAUGGCUUCUACUCCUAAUCCAACAUAAUAUGGGGGUUUGGCCUUUCGGCACAACCAGCAAUCUCAGGCUAGUUUAGGCUUGGUGAGAUUAAGGAGGUGAUGUAUCCCGUCCAAAAUGGACAUCGGGCUGGGUUGGAGGUAUUGUCAUUGCAGCUGGGGUCUCAGAACCAGGAAUGGCAGUGGGACAGUUAAAUCGACUCUCUCUGGGUGUUUUUGGAACAUAGGGUCACCUAAAUCAGUUAAAGUUCUGAUUGGCUUCAUGGGACCAGGAAUUUUUUCUGGAUGGUGAACAUAGUUCCAACAUCAAAUCCUGAAAUAUAAAGCCUUAAUCCCUAUGACAUGCUGUAAUACCAUUGAGUUAAACUAGGGUUACGGAGAGUUAUAGUAAGAGGAUUACAAUUUCCUAUAGUACACGGCUUAGGAUGGGAAGCACAAGCUAUGGAAAGGGUUGAGGAUCAGGUUCAUCCUCCAGAGUAAGUGGCCAAGGUUACACACAUGCAGUAAGGGCAGAAAAACUGGUAAGAAUCUCGACAACUAGAGUCAGGGCGAUUUCCAGGACAAAGGUAAAAGUCAACGCUCUGGAGCCUUUUUUCUGCACCCUUAGAACUUCCACAUCCAGUUUGGCUUCUGGUGUGUCCGAACCCUGCAGCAAGGUCAGCGUUCCCUGCUCUCAUGAUCGGCAGAUUGCAUUGCUCUUCAAGGGUAUGGGCAGGGUCGGGGAACAAAGCACAUAAACCGACUACAAAAGAGACUUCCUUGGAGGGUCCCACCUUCCAAGUGGUGUUUGCAAACACACAUCCUGUCAUGAAGGAAGUGAGGAGAAAAGAGUAGGAAGGGGCAGAGGACAUAACAGGUGGAAACAGACAGAAGAGGUAAAUAAAAAGAAUUAAUUCGAUAGCUUUACUCAACUUAGGCGCAGUUUUAAGGGGCCUGGCCUAGGCUUGGGGACCCAUUUUUUUUGCUGGGCUUUGUUGGCCUUUUUGAUGCGAGAAUGAUGAAUCCAAGCAGGAGUGCCGUCCACCUUCAGAGCUGUUGGUGUGGUGAGGAUGACAGUAUGAGGUCCUUUCCAGGCAGGAGUCAGUCCUUUUUUCUGGAACUUUUUAACAUACACUAGGUCACCCAGCUGGAAAGAGUGGCAGGGCCCAGUCUGGUCAGGAACUGGGCUGGGGUGUGCUCCCCUGACAAGCAGCUGGAUGAUGUCUUGUACCCGUUGGAGAGACUGCAGGUACUGUAACAAGUUAGCUUGUGAGAUUUCUGCUAAAUGGGUAUCCUUUAGCUUAGGCAAGAUAGGCGGAGCCCUUCCAUACAUGAUUUCAAAAGGUGAAAACCCAGCCUGGUAAGGGGUGCAUCUUACUCUAAGAAGGGCUAAAGGAAGGAGCUUUACCUAGUUUUCACUGGUUUCUAGGAUUAAUUUUGCAAGAGUACUUUUUAGGAUGGGGUUCAUGCAUUCUACUUGUCCAGAGCUCUGGGGUCGAUAGGCACAAUGGAGUUUCCAUUGAAUGUUUAAUGCCUUGCUGACCGACUGAGCUAUGGACGAGGUGAAGGCUGGUCCAUUAUCAGACCUUAUUACAACAGGCAGUCCAUGUUGAGGGAUGAUUUCAUUGAGUAAAAGCUUAACUACCGUGGUAGCAGUUUCGUUUUUGGUGGCAAAUGCCUCAGUCCAUCCAGAAAAGGUGUCUACUAGCACCAGGAGGUAUUUAUACCCUGCCAAGUGUGGUUUUACCUCUGUAAAGUCAAUUUCCCACCUUCCUCCUGGCAAGCCUCCCUGGAGGCGGUGGCCUGGGCUGGGCUUAGGACCUUGCUUGGUGUUUACUUGGGCACAAGCCGUUUACUGGAGAGCUGCUUGGUUAGUUAAGUCCUGAAGGUGGGGGAUCUUGAAAUGGCUCCUUAGAAGCUGGGCCAGUUUUACUCCUCCUAAAUGGGUGGUAGAAUGUAGAUGAUUGAUAAAAGUUUCCCCAAGGGCUUGGGGCAUGAAGAUUCUGGAAUCAGGAAGAAUUCACCAACCUUCCUGAUUUUUACUGGCUUGAAGAUCCGAAGCUUGUUUUUCUUCCUCUGGGGAGUAUUCUGGGUAGUCUGCCCAGUCAGUUGUGGAAAGGACACAGAGGGCAGCAGGGUUAAAGGCACGACCAGGAGCUGAGCUGCCUCUCAAGCUGCAGAGUCUGCUCUUUGGUUACCACGAGCAAUGGCCAUGUCUUCUCUUUGAUGUCCUUUGCAGUGAAUUGCAGCCACCUGUUGAGGGAGCCAAACAGCUUCAAGCAGGGCUAAAAUUUCUUCUUUGUUGUUGACACUCUUUCCUGCUGAGGUAGGAAAUGCUGGGAAGAAAAAGCUGGGCCUUCUUGGCUGGGACCUGAUACCCGAAUUCCUGAAGGAGGUAAAGUAGGUCCGUAGUAUGUUGCAGGCAGCUGUCAGUAGUUUCAGUAGCCAAUAACAGGUCGUCUACAUACUGGAGAAGAGUGCAGUUAGGGUGACUGGCUCAGAAUGGUAAAAGAUCCUGUUGGAGGGCUUCCCUAAAAAGGGUGGGGGAAUUUUUAAAACUUCGGGGUAACCAAGUCCAGGUUAAUUGGGUGGUGUCUACCGAGCCAGGAUAUGUCUGUUCAAAAGCAAAGAUAGGUUGACUUUUGGGGCCAGAGGAAUAGCAAAAAAAAGCAUCCUUGAAGUCAAGGACAGUGUACACCAUAUGUUCUGGUGGGAGCAGGCUGAGUAAAGUAUAAGGGUUAGAGACAGUUGGAUGGACAGUGACUGUCUGCUUGUUACCUUCCUGCAAGUCCUGUACAGGCUGGUAAUCAUUUGUUCCGGGUUUCUGGACCGGCAAAAAUGGAAUAUUCCAGGCGAUCUCACAUGGUGUGAGUAUACCAGCUUGUAAUAGUUGCUGAAUAUGAGGAUUAAUUCCCUCUAUAGCCCACAGAAUCAUAGGAUAUUGUUUGACCUGGACCGGCAGGGUGGUGGCCAGGAGUUCUACAACAGCUGGCAGAUGGUGGUUUGCCAGUCCUGGGAGGUAUGAGGAAACAGAGUCUGUAAAGCCAGUAGGAGAGGAUUACUUUUAUUCUCCGGCAGUUGUGAGGGUGAAACUAAGAGAUAUUCCUCUGACCGAAGGGUGGUUAGCAGGAGCUGAGCAGUAGGGGGCAUUGUGUCCCCUAACAUGAGGUGAGUUUGUUGGGCCGAGAAGGAGAUGGACGCCUGUAGCUUAUGAAGCAGGUCUCAUCCGAGGAGGGAGAAGGGGCACUCUGGGACCACGAGGAACAAGUGGGUUACUCUUUUCUGUCCUAAACUCACCUCUCGUGAGUGGGUGACAGGAUAUUCCUGAAUAGCUCCAGUAGCCCUUUACUCAGCAACCUUUUUAUUAGACACUGCCUAAGGGUGUCUGGAGUACUGAGUGUUCCACCCCGGUGUCAAUUAGGAAGCGUACAGGCUGGCCCCCCACUGUGGUGGUCACCAUGGGUUCCCGGGGCCAAGUGACAAAGAGCCCUGGCCCCGUCAAUCAUCAGAUUCCUCUGCUGCGGGGCAGGGUGAGGACCUUUUUCUUUUCUGGUUUCUCCUCUGGCUUUAAUGGGCAUUCCUUUCUCCAGUGUCCAAUCUGCUUGCAAGAAGCACAUUGGUUUCUUUAUAGGGGAGUCCUCUCACGUUUCUGGCCUUCCUGGUGGGGACUCGGGGUCCCCUGGUCAGUGCUCUGUGAUGGGGGCCCUUCCUUUUUGGCUUCUUGGAUGGCAGCCACUAAGCUUUUUGCCUGUCUUUUUGAUGCUUUGUCUGCAGCCCUUUCAGCUGCCUGAGCUACCUGUUUUUGCUUUUCAAAUUCUCGAUUGUCGAAAACUCUCUGGGCUAUCUCUAAAAGCUGGCUGAUGUAAGGAAAUACUUUCUGGCUUCUCUUCAGAUAUGGUCCCUCUCUUCAGAGGUGAAAAGGGAUGAAAGGAGUUGCUGACACUCAUCCCAGGUGGGCCGAGUGUCCAGAGUUUGCCUUUUUUAAGGCGGACCCCGUAAUCAUCUGAGAAGCCUAGAGAGAAAUUCUGCAACAUACACUGGAGAGGACUCCAAUCUUUAUGGGGCCGGGAAGAAGAGUUUACUAUUCUGGAGGCAAUUAACAAGGUUUGAACAAAAAUAUUAAACCCAGCAUGGACAAAGAUAUUCACGGCCUGGGAGGCUAUGGUAUCAGAAGAACAGAAGUAUUAUAGCUAGAAGAAGUAGGAAAACAACUAUAGCCAAUAUUUCUUGCCACAUAAGGUCUGUCUCCUCAAGCUUCGAGAUCUAUGGAGAGGAUAAGAGGUGGGUCCAAGGGAUCCUCAGCCAGUGGGACUUAGGUGACCCCCCCUUCUUGACUUAUAUCCCAAAUAACUUUGGUGUCUCCACGACUCGAAAGCAAAAUGUUCAAACUCGGUCCUUUCCUUCACGGGUUUAAGGAGGGAGAACACAGCCAAGUCUUAGAGACGCUGGACUUGCUGCAACACAGGAAAAUGAGAUGUGCAGGGUAAGGGAUGGGGAUGAGGAGGAAAGGGGCCACUUGGAUUUCCCUAAAGGUUGGAGAGUAGCCAAAAGAGGUAAAAUAAGAGUCCAGACAGAGUAGAGCAGUAUGGGUGUAGGUUUCUCUGCACAGUGCCUUAUUUAAGGGCAUGGGAAAAGUUAUGGGAUGACAGAAAAGGUGAGUAAGGAGGUCAGCAGGGUGGCUAUUUUGGAUCCACCACUGGUCUAAGGAGAAGGUGGACCAGUCGUUGGGGCGUGGGGUAUGGCAAUCCAAACGCCAGCAAUCUUUAUGGUGCCAGAAAUCCUAAACGGGUGAAUGUCUUCCACACCCUUCCCCAUAACAACACCUAAUUUGUUUCUGACAGGAAAGGCAGGACUGGGAUGGCCAGCCCAACCGACUAAUGAGGAAUUUGACCUCCUGGGAUAGAAAAUCUGUACUAAGGACCUUGAAGAAGUCCUUGCCCAGUCAUUUUGGGCAGUAUCGACGAUCCGACAUAUGAAAUUUAGACAGACACUAAACAGGACAAUAGGCACUGGGGUAUAUAAACAAGCAUGGCAAUUUUUAUAGACAGACAAGGGGAGGGGGUCCCGUGAUGGGAUCAGUCAGAUGCCCUCCUGGCUGCUCCCCUUUCGGGGACUUAGGCUCCUCUUGGCAUUGGCAGGCUGGUAUAAACCCCUGGCUUGGAUCGAGCUAUGCCUGAUGCCGCCCUAAGCCUUAUGAGGUCACCACGGAACCACAGGUGAGGGCCUUCUCGAAUUCCCUAGCUUUCACCCUGGAGCUACAAACUGGAAAUUCAAGCGCAAGCCCUUGAACUCCACAUUCACUCACUCACUCACUCACUCAGAGUUUAUUACAAUUUUUAUACCCAUUCUAAAACAGAGAUCUCCCGGAGACCUGAAUGAGAGAGGGAGAAGAGAUAGAGAGAGAGAGAGACUAGACUUAACAGAGAAUCCUGACAGAAACCAGGACUCUGUCCUCCAGUGUCCUGGAGCAUGGACAGAGUCUGAGGGAGGACCUUCGUCAGGGCCGUUUCCCUCCCAGAGAGACAGAGUCAGAUCUGACUUACCUUCCCGGGACUAGAGACUGAGGACUCAGGAGUUGAAUUUGGCUGGGCGCACCGGCAGUCGAUCCGUUCCCCUCCAGAAGACAGUGGCCUGUGGAGCCCUGGAACGUCUUCAGGUGGCCCUGUAAGCCAGCUGUCUGUCUGGGGAAGCCCGGAAUGAGUCAGGUCUUCACCCGGUGGCGAAUCUCUCUGGGGCUUCCAAAUGUCGUAACCGAGCAAGUCAUAGAGAGAAUGCCACACUCUGAGACUAAUUCAGGAGUCCUUUAUUGCUGGCGACUGAGAAAGAGCUAGAGCUUGAAAUUCUCUCGGUCCGGAAGAAGAGGCUAGAGUUCUUUUUAUACCUUGGCCUAAAGAGGGGAGGGGGAGUCUAGCUGAAGCAAUUUUUUACAGAAGCAGAACAGGAAAAAAUUAAAAGAUAAAUGGUUACAGAAACAGUUACAGGAAAAUAAACAGUUCCAGGUGCAGGGGCUUAAAGUAUCCCAAAGUGAUAAAAGCAGGGGCUUUGGAUACCACCAACCAAGUGUGCUCCCAGGAGCUGCUGGUACAGCUUGCCUCAGUAUCUUAUCAAUAAGCGCAUUCUUGGAUGUGCUUGGAGUCAGCUUGCACCAGUUAUGUCCUUAAGGAGGGGGACAAGGGGCUGCAAGCGAAGAAACCAAGCUAAGACUCUCUCAGCUAUUGACUCUCUCGAUAUUGACUCUCAAUUGAGUCUCCCAAGCUAUUGACUCUCUCAGCUAAGAAAGAGUCAAUCAGGAUAAAACAAGAUAGGGUAUCACAAUUUGAUCUGCAAGAUUAUUUCCUGGACUUGUGAAAGGCGAGUCGUUUUGGUGCCCUGGGACAUGUACAAUAGCUAUCUCUUCUGGCAAUUGGAGAUUGUUGAGGACACGAGCAUCAGUUCUCUAUGAACUAAAUCUUGGCCUCUACUAUUGAUAAGAGCCCUCUCCAUCCAAAUUUUCCCAAAUGUGUGUGCCUCCCCAGAGGGAUACUUAGAGUCAGUAUAGAUAGAUUUUCUUGGUUUUGUAAAUGUCCUAAAGCUUGGCUGAGUGCAAACAGUUCACACCCUUGGACAGACCAAUUAUUAGACCCCCUUCCUGAUUUUACUUUUUUAACAGUCUUUCCAUUAAUCACUGAAUACCUAUUAUGUCUCUUUCUUUUAAUCACCUGGGAGGUUCCAUCUAUGAAUAAGUGCCACCCUGUCUUGAAGGGAGUUUUUCCUAAGUCUGGUUGAACUUUCGUAUGGUAAUUAAUUCGAUUUAAACACGCGUGCUCUCUCGUUUUACGUUUGGAUCCCCCGUUAAAGAGCCUGCUGAAUAAAGUGAAUUAUUAGUACUUAAUAUUAAAUCACCUUUUUCCCAGAAAGAUAGCCUCAUAUUUUAAAAUUUUUGAGUUGGUAAUCUCCCUCCUUGCGUUUUGAUUUAAUAUAGUUUUAACUUGGUGGGUUGUGGCCUGAAGCGGCUGGGGAGUAACUUGAAACCUCAGCUGAAGGGACAGCACAGGCUGGGGCGUGGCCUGAAACAGCUGGGGAGUAACCUGAAACCACAGCCGGAGGGACCUGAGAGGGGAACCAAAGGGGCAGGAUUGGGGGCGCUGAAGGAAGGAAGGUGAUUUAGAGGAUCCCAUGUCUUGGUAGGUAUGGGUUGUCUAGGCAUGGGAACUCUUUCCUUUUUAGAAAGGUUGGUUUCUGAUUUUCUCCCUCCAGAGUCUAAAGGGUAAAGGAGAACUGGUCCCUGCCGCCAGCAGAGGGCGUAAUCGAUUUUUCCUGGGACACAGGGCUCUUACUGUUAACAUAUUUGAUUAACAGCUGACAAAUUCGCUCUUCAUUAGACUUAAAUUUUGGCCAGAAAAGUGAGGGCUUAAGGAUGGGUUCUCGAACUUAAAUAAAACAACAAUAUUCUAUCAUCUGCUGUUUUUGUUUAUACUUGGUUCUCUUAUUAUUUUUUCAAUACUUUAGCAUAAGCCCCAAGGGGCUAUCAGAAGGAAAUUCAUCACUCUCUAGACUCUUUAGUUUUCCUGUCUUACUUGAAACGUUCCCCAUCUUAGGGAUUAUGGGGAGGAGGCCCAACCCCUCCUGUGAGAUUUCUACCCUCCCCCUUCCUGGAGGCUUACUGAGGCUUUGGGGAAAGGCUCCAACCCAACCUGUUUGGAUUUCUACCCUCCCCCUUCCUCUUUGUCUACUCUGUCUGUUCCUGACUCUAGUUGACAGAUGGCAGCAUGAGGCCAUAGAGAAGACUCACUCACUCCACAUAACCACCAUACUAAGUCCCAUUCAUACACUGUCAGCCUCCAGCUUAUCCCAACCACCUGGGAAAUACUUUGUCACCUUCGCCAAGUCUCCUACCUUAUUCCAUGCACAAGAAUUUCCUGGUCCUCUUAUUGUUGCGGUCUUGCAAGCUUCUCCUCCCCGCUUUGCUGAGAUCCAGACUUAUUUGUCACAAAGCGGGGGGGGGGCCCUGAUCUCCCUCAACCUAGGGGCACGGUAACUAGACAGUAGGAUGCGUCCCCUCCGGGUGGGGUGACCGAAGGCCCCCUUCCCAAAGGAGAAGAUUCGAGCCCCAAAGUUGGGCUCCAGAACUGUUAGGAAUAACGCUCAAAAUCUUAAGGAAAUUGAACACUUGAACAAAGGAUUCUUAGCAAAGCAAUUUUACUUCUGCGCAGAGAGGUGCCUCCUUGUCCAGUCGCCAUGAGAGCACACCUGAAAAAGGGGCACGAGAGCCUUUACUCCUGACACAAGUACUGCCCCUGUACCCUUUCUCCAUUGGCCAGGGUCAGGUCGUACAAUCUAAACUAAUCCUGGUUGGCUAAACAUUGGAUUUUUUUUAGAUAAGGUGGGCACGUAAAAAAGGCAGAGAAUAAAGGGGAAGGGGUGUCUGUAAUGAGCUAAAAAGUUAGUCCUCUUUCCAAAUAAGGAAAGGAAUGUGAGCAGGUACAGAUACCACCUGGUACUGUGGCAUGCCUGGGCAUGUAACAAAGGAAAAAAGAGAAAAAAGGAGAAAAAGGAAAAAAGGUGGAGGGAUUA